Molecule: long non-coding RNA, 105 nt
Organism: Etheostoma cragini (Arkansas darter)
Lineage: Eukaryota; Metazoa; Chordata; Actinopteri; Perciformes; Percidae
Exons: 3
Source: RefSeq, a predicted model, not a curated record
AUUAACAAUUGGGCACCACAGUGUCAGGCCUUCAUACUGAGAACAAAAAGUAGUCCAGGACAUGUAGUGCAAACAGGGCUCCUUCAUAGGUUCACUUUCUAAAUC